CCUACGGGUGGCUGCAGUGGGGAAUAUUGCACAAUGGGGGAAACCCUGAUGCAGCGACGCCGCGUGAGUGAAGCAGUAAUUCGUUAUGUAAAGCUCUAUCAGCAGGGAAGCAAAUGACGGUACCUGAGUAAGAAGCACCGUCUAACUACGUGCCAGCAGCCGCGGUAAUACGUAGGGGGCAAGCGUUAUCCGGAUUGACUGGGUGUAAAGGGAGCGUAGACGGCAUUGCAAGUCUGGAGUGAAAGGCGGGGGCUCAACCCCCGGACUGCAGUGGAAACUGUACGUCUGGAGUGCAGGAGAGGUAAGGGGAAUUCCUGGGGUAGCGGUAAAAGGCGUAGAUAUUAGGAGGAACACCAAUUGCGAAGGCGGCUUACUGGACUGUAACUGACGUUGAGGCUCGAAAGCGUGGGGAGCAAACAGGAUUAGAUACCCGAGUAGUC
This 440-nucleotide ribosomal RNA is filed under the name uncultured bacterium. RNAcentral's name for it is "partial 16S ribosomal RNA". It matches the Rfam family "Bacterial small subunit ribosomal RNA", at positions 338 to 795 of the family's 1533-position model. The record is from RNAcentral.